Molecule: ribosomal RNA, 483 nt
Filed under: uncultured bacterium
Lineage: Bacteria
Description: bacterial SSU rRNA
Rfam family: Bacterial small subunit ribosomal RNA
Source: RNAcentral
AUCAUGGCUCAGAUUGAACGCUGGCGGCAGGCCUAACACAUGCAAGUCGAGGCGGGUAGGGAGGUGCUUGCAUCUCUUGAGAGCGGCGGACGGGUGAGUAAUGCCUAGGAAUCUGCUAGUGGUGGGGAUAACGUUCGGAAACGGACGCUAAUACCGCAUACGCCCGAGAGGGGAAAGAUUUAUCGCUAUAAGAUUAGCCCGCGUGAGAUUAGGUAGUUGGUGGGGGUAAAGGCUCACCAAGCCGACGAUCUGUAGCUGGUCUGAGAGGACGACCAGCCACACUGGGACUGAGACACGGCCCAGACUCCUACGGGAGGCAGCAGUGGGGAAUUUUGGACAAUGGGCGCAAGCCUGAUCCAGCAAUGCCGCGUGCAGGAUGAAGGCCUUCGGGUUGUAAACUGCUUUUGUACGGAACGAAACGGUGAGCUCUAAUACAGUUUGCUAAUGACGGUACCGUAAGAAUAAGCACCGGCUAACUCCGUG